RNAcentral lists this ribosomal RNA (317 nucleotides) under uncultured Agaricales. Its description in RNAcentral is "partial large subunit ribosomal RNA". It matches the Rfam family "Eukaryotic large subunit ribosomal RNA", at positions 40 to 350 of the family's 3401-position model. The record is from RNAcentral. Lineage: Eukaryota; Fungi; Basidiomycota; Agaricomycetes; Agaricales.
AUAUCAAUAAGCGGAGGAAAAGAAACUAACAAGGAUUCCCCUAGUAACUGCGAGUGAAGCGGGAAAAGCUCAAAUUUAAAAUCUGGUGGUCUUUGGCCAUCCGAGUUGUAAUUUAGAGAAGCGUCUUCCGCGCUGGACCAUGCACAAGUCUCCUGGAAUGGAGCGUCAUAGAGGGUGAGAAUCCCGUCUUUGACACGGACUACCAAUGCUUUGUGAUGCGCUCUCAAAGAGUCGAGUUGUUUGGGAAUGCAGCUCAAAAUGGGUGGUAAAUUCCAUCUAAAGCUAAAUACAGGCGAGAGACCGAUAGCGCACAAGUA